Molecule: long non-coding RNA, 1284 nt
Filed under: Homo sapiens (human)
Lineage: Eukaryota; Metazoa; Chordata; Mammalia; Primates; Hominidae
Description: HSALNT0303692
Source: RNAcentral
GCCCUCCCCAAAGACCUGGGAGACAAACUCAGAAACUGCUUCCCUGGGGACCGAGAGUGCCCACAGGGCUCUUCCCACUGCUUCCUCUCCCUGCAUUUUUUGCUCAGCUUUCAAAUUCUGGUUCAGCCCCAGAGCCAGACCUUGAUUUCAUGCGAGAAGGUGGAGUAGGAGGAAGAGAAGGAGGAGAGUUAGAAGGAGUAGGAGGAGGAGGAAAACCUCCUGCAGGCUCGUCUGAGUAUAUUCCUAGGUGAUGGCAGAGGGGCAAGAAAGCAAGCAAAAAGAAGCACAGAAGCCCUCUCAUGGCCAAAACUGGCUUGGUGUCACUUUUACCUCAUUCUAUUGGUCAAAAAAAGUCAACAGGCUGAGCCCAGAGUCAGAGUGGGAGAGUACUGCAUGGUUACAUGACAGAGGAUGUGGAUAUGAGGAAUCGUGAAGAACUGCAUCCAUUAGAGCCAUCUGUCACAGAAGGGACUAUUGUCAUUUUACUAAUUUUGUACAUGAGGAUAGGGAAGCAUGGAGAUGGUAACAUGCCUAAAGUCACAUAGCUUCUUAGCUGUGGAACCAGAAAGUAAACCUGGGCCUUCUGGGCCCAGGGCCCGUGGCUGUUAAAACCACUGUGCACACUGCCUUACUCCUACCCUUCACAAUCAGGUUUCUGCUCUGACCACCCUAGAAAACAUGCCCGUCUCAGGUUACCGAUGCUCUCCUAUGGACAGAUCCAAUAGCCUUUGUUAAUUGUCCACAUCUCUAUCCAUUCUGUAAUACUCCUGCAUGCUGCAUCCUUGGAGUUCUUUUCUCCUUUGAUUCUGCAGAACCUGUACUGUUUUGUUUCUCUUUCUGGCUUCCUCUGUCUGUCUCUCUUCACCAACUACAUAAUGCAUUCACUUCUUUUUCUUGGCAUCUCCCUUUCCAAGCACACCCACUCUCCUGGUUUCCAUUAUCUCCCUGCAGACAACUCUCAACUGGCUCUAAGAAAGCUCACUAUAAUUUUCAGCAACCUAAUUCAGUCGUUUGUCCGUCACAAAUAACAGCUCAGGAAAAUCAAAGGAUUUUCUCACUAGCAUCUUAUCAUUCCAUGUCACCUAGCAACUAUCCCAGUGCUUGAUAUUCUGCUACUAGAAACUCCCUACUACACAGAUAAUACCACUGGAAGGUAUAAAGCCACUUGACUGACCUCUCUCCAUUCACAGCAUUUAUAACUGUAAGAAAUUGCCAGUGGUUGACUCUUUCCGACCUUCGAAAGUGGCAAUUUCAUGUGGUUCAGCUUAAUAGUAUUUAUUACCU